AACUCCAAUUUCUAAGUUCCCCCAAAGAACCUAGUUACCUGGUGGGCAGAUGGUUCCUGCAGAAGAGGCCUGCCUGGGUUUUGGUGCACGACAACCCUAGUCCUUGCAACGGUUUCCUUUCUCCUUUAUGUUCCCUAAGAUCUAUGUUUUCCUGUCUCUCAUGUCCCGGAGCAGUUUCUAAUGCACAGCGGUUCACAGGGAUCUUCUUAGGAGCAUUCAGGCUCUUUUGUGAAGAUCUUCUUUAAAUUGCAAGAGAAUAAGCCACAAUACCCUUAUAUUGUAGACAUUUCUUAUCCCAUCCAGCUUUCUUCCUUCCUACUCCCAAAUUGCAACCAACAUCCGAGCCAUAUUAAACUCCUUGCUCUCCCCAAAGCCCCCCAUGACCUUUCACCUUUCUGAGCCUUUGCAUGUGUCUCAUAUUCUGCUAGAAUGCCCAUGCCCUAGCCCUUCCAUAGUAGCUAGAAAAGUGGGCCCCCAAAAGAUAUCCAUGUCUAAUCCCUGAACCUGUGAAUGUUGCCUUCUGUAGAAAAAAAAAAGCAGAGGAUCUUUGGAUCCGUGAUGAAGCUAAGGAUCUUGAAAUGGGGAGAUUAUCUGGGUGGGCCCUCAAUGCAAUCAGAUGCAUCUUUUUACGAGGGAGGCAGAGGGAGAUUUGACCCACCUGGAGGAGAAGGCAUUGUGAAGACGGAGGCAGAAAUUGGAGUGAUAUGGGAAGAGGCAAGGAGUGCUGGCAGCCCCCAGAAACUAAAAGAGGCAAGAGGAGCUGCUCCUGAGAGCCCCCAGAGGAAGCGCAGCUCUGCCAGCUUCGGCCCUGGGAUACUGGUUUCAGACUUCCAGCUUCAGAACUAAACCACCUCCUAAAUAACAAUGAAGAUGGAACACAAAAACAGACACACUUUGUUCUGUGGAACUAGGAGACAGCUGGCACAUAAACCAUACUACAUGAAGAUGGACAGGUGAUGGAGGUGUGGAAGCUGACUCACCAGAGAUGAGGAAGGCAAUGCUGGCACAGAGAAUGGUGACAAGAAGAAAGCUGAGUAAUGGAAAGGCUCAGGAGUCACCACCAGAGAAUUGAGCCAGAGCAGUUCCACACUGGAGGACCCAAGCAAAAUGGAAGGUGGGGUGAGAUCUGGACUGAACAUGGGGAGACUAAGUGACUGACAAAAUCCCUACCACCUCCCCAACCAGGUUCCCAGAAUGCCUGCUGCCCAGAGAGGAGAUUGGAGUGUCCUCCUCAGAAGGAACGGUCCCAGGAGAAAAGACUUGUCAAGUCAGGUAUCUGAAGCCUUUCAUGCACUGACACCUCCACCAAAAUCCAGAUCUGUGUGUUUUCUCCACCCAGAUAUUCCUUAAUCCUCAUCUCAAAACCCAAAUCUCAGCUUUUAAUUUUUUAAAUUUUUCCUCCUAAAUCUGCUCUUCAUGCAAUCCUGUCAUCUAGCUAGUCUCUCAAGCCUGAAAACUGAGUGGUCAUUGAUUUCCUCUCUCCAUUUCUUAGUGAUGCAGUCUGUCAAUUUUUAGUUCCCGAGAAUCUUCCACAUCUGUGCUUUCCUCACAGCUCCUGCUUUAAUUCACGUCACAGCAUCUCUCCUUAGGAUGACCACAAUAGUAACCUUCUAACCGGCCUCGUUAAACCCGUCCUCCGCAGCCUGCAGCGUGCUCUAAAAUAAAAAUUAGAUCAAGGUCUCCAGCCCCCUGAGAUCCCUUUGUGCUGCUGUUACCUUCUUCUCACCAACCACGUCCCUUGCCCCAGCCCAGUGAAAUGGUUCUAAAAUUUAAUAAGCAUCAGCAUAAUCUGAAUGGCACCCUCAAAAUGCAUAUCCCUGGGCCCCUUGCUGAUUCUAAUUCAGCAAAUCACCCAAGGUCAUUCUCUGCAAAUGUCCUUUGAUCACAGUAAGAAACACCUGGCUAGAGCUUCCUGUCUCAAUUC
Molecule: long non-coding RNA, 1924 nt
Filed under: Equus caballus (horse)
Lineage: Eukaryota; Metazoa; Chordata; Mammalia; Perissodactyla; Equidae
Description: lncRNA (ENSECAG00000049101.1)
Source: RNAcentral